Small nucleolar RNA from Hyla sarda, 126 nucleotides. RefSeq annotates it as small nucleolar RNA SNORA49. The record is from RefSeq and is a predicted model, not a curated record. Lineage: Eukaryota; Metazoa; Chordata; Amphibia; Anura; Hylidae. The transcript has a single exon.
AAUCCUCAUCCUUACUCCAGGGUUAUUGUUGUCCAUACUUUCCCUGGCAUUAAUUGAGGAUACAACAACUGCUUUGUUUAGUAGCUGGAAAGUUGUUUUCCAAGCGACUGAAUGUAAGCAUACAUA